This 460-nucleotide ribosomal RNA is filed under the name uncultured bacterium. Its description in RNAcentral is "partial 16S ribosomal RNA". It matches the Rfam family "Bacterial small subunit ribosomal RNA", at positions 338 to 795 of the family's 1533-position model. The record is from RNAcentral.
CCUACGGGAGGCAGCAGUGAGGAAUAUUGGUCAAUGGACGGAAGUCUGAACCAGCCAUGCCGCGUGCAGGAAGACUGCUCUAUGAGUUGUAAACUGCUUUUGUACAAGGGUAAACCUGUACACGUGUAUUCAGCUGUAAGUACUUUAUGAAUAAGGAUCGGCUAACUCCGUGCCAGCAGCCGCGGUAAUACGGAGGAUCCAAGCGUUAUCCGGAUUUAUUGGGUUUAAAGGGUGCGUAGGCGGAUUGAUAAGUUAGUGGUGAAAGGUCGGGGCUUAACCCGGGAACUGCCUCUAAUACUGUUGAUCUAGAGAGUAGAUGCGGUAGGCGGAAUGUAUGGUGUAGCGGUGAAAUGCUUAGAGAUCAUACAGAACACCGAUUGCGAAGGCAGCUUACCAAUCUAUAUCUGACGUUGAGGCACGAAAGCGUGGGGAGCAAACAGGAUUAGAUACCCUAGUAGUC